This 465-nucleotide ribosomal RNA is filed under the name Vreelandella stevensii. RNAcentral describes it as "partial 16S ribosomal RNA". It matches the Rfam family "Bacterial small subunit ribosomal RNA", at positions 338 to 795 of the family's 1533-position model. The record is from RNAcentral. Lineage: Bacteria; Pseudomonadati; Pseudomonadota; Gammaproteobacteria; Oceanospirillales; Halomonadaceae.
CCUACGGGCGGCUGCAGUGGGGAAUAUUGGACAAUGGGCGAAAGCCUGAUCCAGCCAUGCCGCGUGUGUGAAGAAGGCCUUCGGGUUGUAAAGCACUUUCAGUGGGGAAGAAAGCCUUGGGGCUAAUACCCUCGAGGAAGGACAUCACCCACAGAAGAAGCACCGGCUAACUCCGUGCCAGCAGCCGCGGUAAUACGGAGGGUGCGAGCGUUAAUCGGAAUUACUGGGCGUAAAGCGCGCGUAGGCGGUCUGAUAAGCCGGUUGUGAAAGCCCCGGGCUCAACCUGGGAACGGCAUCCGGAACUGUCAGGCUAGAGUGCAGGAGAGGAAGGUGGAAUUCCCGGUGUAGCGGUGAAAUGCGUAGAGAUCGGGAGGAAUACCAGUGGCGAAGGCGGCCUUCUGGACUGACACUGACGCUGAGGUGCGAAAGCGUGGGUAGCAAACAGGAUUAGAUACCCGAGUAGUC